RNAcentral lists this transfer RNA (58 nucleotides) under Ligustrum ovalifolium. RNAcentral describes it as "partial tRNA-His". Lineage: Eukaryota; Viridiplantae; Streptophyta; Magnoliopsida; Lamiales; Oleaceae. The record is from RNAcentral.
AGGGGCGGAUGUAGCCAAGUGGAUUAAGGCAGUGGAUUGUGAAUCCACCCAUGCGCGA